RNAcentral lists this long non-coding RNA (1656 nucleotides) under Olea europaea subsp. europaea. Lineage: Eukaryota; Viridiplantae; Streptophyta; Magnoliopsida; Lamiales; Oleaceae. The record is from RNAcentral.
CUAAAAUGAUGUUGCUUUAAGCUUCAAUCUUAAUUAUGCUAUUGAACCGAAGUUGCUACAACUGUUUGGGAAUAAUUUUAACGAGAUCAAUACAAUUAAUCCUAACGUAUUGACAAGCCUCAAAACUAACUACAUUAACUACAUAACAUCAGACCAAACAUAAUCAUCAAAACUGACUACAUUAAUUGCAUAACAUCAGACCAAACAUAGUCAUUACAGUUGGACAUAACAGAGACAUGAUGGACACAAAACCUAAUACAUUAACUGCUUGAUCAAGCUAUUCACAUGCCUCAAUAAGCCAAAUCCAAGGUGUUGACAGUGCACAGAAUUUGCAUGAAGUUGUCUUCCUCUUAUAGCCACCUAUAAGAAUCUGCAUCACGCAAUGGUAAAGCAUUUAAGAAACUGUAUUACAUUGAACUUUAUACCCACAGCAGGCACAAUCACACUGUCUACCCCUUCAAUUCCAUCAUCCACGACUUUCUCACUUUCCAAAAUGUUGUCAGUUUGGGACUGUAAUAGAAUGACGUCAUCCGCCUCUUUCACGAAUUCCUUGCCUGCAGUAACAAAACCAAUGACACAUUUCAUUCCCUCUUUCUCCAUAAUCAACAAAUUCUUAACAAAAUCCACAACAUAUGGGUGAAAAAUUUAAGCUUUCCCCUAUUUCUAUUUUAGUUUGAUAGAAUAGGGUGAACAAUUAAUUGACCAUUUAAUUGAUUUUUGAUUCACAGUGAAAUAUCAUAUUACAUCAAUCACAGCAAUCAAGCAGCAAUCACAAAAAUCAAGCCAAGCAAUCACAGAAAUCAAGCAAGCUAAUCACAGAAAUCAAGCCAAUGUUUAGUUCCAUUACAAAUUUCAUUUUACCAUGUAUAGCUUGUACUUUUACCUAUAAAUGUACACACAACCAUUGUAAAAUGCAUGAAGUAAAACAUUAUGGUUUUGGCUUUCAUCUUCCUUCUUCAUCUGUGUGUAUCAAAUUUUAUUAUAUCAUGUAAUCAUAUUUUGAAGCUUAAAGGCAGGGAAAUACUGUCAUCUAAGAUGAAAAGUUUAAAUUUGAUUAUCUAGUUCGUAUUUUUAAGCUUCAUUAAGGAAAAUACUGUUGUUCGUCAUCUACUCAAAUCUGCUCGAAUCUGAGAAGCGCGCGGUAGCUUCAAGACCGAGGAACUCUUUCUUCCAUAGCCUAGUUUCAAAUGUCACAGCCAUUGCUUCAAUGGAGCGCAUGUACAACUCUUUCUUACACAGUCAAACUGAAGCUGAAUGAGCUUCUUUCUUACGUCUUCGUCGCACCGGUAGAACUAUUCUUCCGCAGUCGAACUAUUUCGUCUGGUAGAACUCUUUCUUAGGCAGCCUCCGGCAACGUCGACUGCUUCAAGUUGGAAGAACAACGUCUUCGAGCGCCGGUCGAUCUUACACAAUGUCGUCUGAAUUUUUGGCUCUCUCUUUGCUGAAUUUGUGAGCAAAAUUGCUUUUUAUCGACCCGCUUUGUCUCUGCCAUUUUCAAAUUUAAUGACCCGACCCAAUUUAUCAAUUGUUUCAUUUUUUUUUUAAUUAUACCUCCAGCUCAGCGUGUAACCAGAAGGUACCAAUAGCAUUUUCCAUAUCGUAAAUGGGUAAUUUUUUAAUCAGCUUGUUGAAAAGUUAAUUAUGUGAUGGUUAGAC